GAUUAGCCGUUGAUACCCGAAUGGGGAAACCCGGUGCAAGCAGUUGCACUAUCGUUAGAUGAAUAAACUAGUUUAACGAGGCGAACCGGGAGAAGUGAAACAUCUAAGUACCCCGAGGAAAAGAAAUCAACCGAGAUUUCCCGAGUAGCGGCGAGCGAAAGGGAAGCAGCCCAGAGCGUGCAUCGCUAUUGAUAUCAGAGGAAAGGUCUGGACCGACCUGCUAAAGAGGGUGAGAGCCCCGUACUCGAAGAUAGCAGUAGUG
This 262-nucleotide ribosomal RNA is filed under the name Buchnera aphidicola. Its description in RNAcentral is "partial 23S ribosomal RNA". It matches the Rfam family "Bacterial large subunit ribosomal RNA", at positions 98 to 396 of the family's 2925-position model. The record is from RNAcentral. Lineage: Bacteria; Pseudomonadati; Pseudomonadota; Gammaproteobacteria; Enterobacterales; Erwiniaceae. RNAcentral also lists the same sequence under 1 other name.